This is a long non-coding RNA of Quercus lobata, 518 nucleotides long. RefSeq lists it as uncharacterized. Lineage: Eukaryota; Viridiplantae; Streptophyta; Magnoliopsida; Fagales; Fagaceae. The record is from RefSeq and is a predicted model, not a curated record. The transcript has 2 exons.
CCAAUAAGAAGAAGACAAGUCAUUAAAAAACUGAUGACAUAAGUUUAUUGUCCUUCGCGUUUUCUUCCCCUGCAAUCCCUUGGCUCCGCAUCGUAGAUAAUAGACAAAUGCUUUGAUGAGAAAUCCAUUUUCCAAAUGUUCUAGAUCUGAGAGAAGAAGUUCAGACUUUAGAGAAGCAAAAUGAGCAGAGGUGGAGAGAAAGGUCUCAAAACUACAAAAAUCCAGAAGGAAAUUUCAAUGGAUAGCUGAAAAAUAUGUCUGAUGAUGCUUUCAUUUGUGGAAAGAAUUAUACUUUCUACAUUGAAGCCUUGCUGCCUAGCUUUCUUUUUGGAGUCCUUUGUUUUACUUUUUGGUUUUUAUCUACCAAAGUGAAUUUGUUUUUAGACAGCUUAGUUUGAAAGAAACUACUCUUUGUACUAACAGGCUUAUUCAAAUUUUACUUGGAGCCCAUGGAAAGUUAUGGUGUCAACAAAAAACUGUCAUGAUACUAUCUAUUAUAUUUAUUCUCUUUGUAAUCA